AUGGAUGGACUUGCUCCGAUGAACAUAAUAACAGACCAGGAUUUUAGCAUGCGUGCAGGCAUAGAGGAGGUCUUUCCGUUGGCAGUGCACAUGCACUGCAGGUGGCACAUUAUAAAGAAGGCUGAGGAGACGCUAGGACCGUUCUUUGCUGACCGUCCAGAGCUGCACAAGGCAUUCGAGCUGUGCGUGGACCAUAGAUUGACGGUGGAGGAGUUUGAAAGGAGCUGGAUGGCCAUGAUUGAAACAUAUCAAGUCCAAGACAAGGAGACUCUUGCUAGCCUAUGGGAGAAGCGAAUGUACUGGGUGCCGGCCUACUUCAUGCAGUGUUUCUUCCCGUUUCUGCAGACUACGCAGCGCAGCAAGGGGUUCAAUGUUGUUUUGAAGCGGUACGUGAGCCCUGGAAACUCAUUGCUACAGUUUGCCAAGCAGUACACAGCUUUGCAACAAAAAAUACUGGGAUCUGAGCUACAGCAAGAAGCGAACACCGCGCUAAAGCAGCCAAAUUGCUAA
Molecule: ribosomal RNA, 510 nt
Filed under: Triticum aestivum (bread wheat)
Lineage: Eukaryota; Viridiplantae; Streptophyta; Magnoliopsida; Poales; Poaceae
Description: partial small subunit ribosomal RNA
Source: RNAcentral